GUGCCAGCAGCCGCGGUAAUACGUAGGGAGCCAGCGUUGUCCGGAUUUACUGGGCGUAAAGAGCGCGUAGGCGGUUUUGUAAGCGGAGGGUGAAAUCUCGGGGCUCAACUCCGAGGCUGCUUUCCGAACUGCAAGACUAGAGUACGGGAGAGGAUAGUGGAAUUCCUGGUGUAGCGGUGGAAUGCGUAAAUAUCAGGAGGAACACCCGUGGCGAAGGCUGCUAUCUGGAACGUUACUGACGCUGAGGCGCGAAAGCUAGGGGAGCGAACGGGAUUAGAAACCCGGGUAGUCC
Molecule: ribosomal RNA, 292 nt
Filed under: uncultured bacterium
Lineage: Bacteria
Description: partial 16S ribosomal RNA
Rfam family: Bacterial small subunit ribosomal RNA
Source: RNAcentral